UACGUAGGGCCCAAGCGUUGUCCGGAAUCAUUGGGCGUAAAGAGCGUGUAGGCGGCUUGUUAAGUCUUGCGUGAAAUCUCGGGGCUCAACCCCGAGCGGUCGUGAGAAACUGGCAGGCUAGAGUGCGGGAGAGGAGAGUGGAAUUCCUGGUGUAGCGGUGAAAUGCGCAGAUAUCAGGAAGAACACCCGUGGCGAAGGCGGCUCUCUGGAACGCAACUGACGCUGAGACGCGAAAGCGUGGGGAGCAGACAGG
Molecule: ribosomal RNA, 253 nt
Filed under: uncultured bacterium
Lineage: Bacteria
Description: partial 16S ribosomal RNA
Rfam family: Bacterial small subunit ribosomal RNA
Source: RNAcentral